This 772-nucleotide long non-coding RNA is filed under the name Salvia miltiorrhiza (redroot sage). RNAcentral describes it as "long non-coding RNA (SMIL_LNC009451)". The record is from RNAcentral. Lineage: Eukaryota; Viridiplantae; Streptophyta; Magnoliopsida; Lamiales; Lamiaceae.
UCGUUGUACCGAGAGAUCUCAUGUAAAGCUGGGAGUUCGAGCAGAGCUGGAAGUCCAUGCUCUGCCAAGAAGUCUCGAGCAGGGCUGUGCGUGUUCUCCUUAGUUCCAAGCUGAGCUGGAAAUAUCUUGUGCUAGGCAUCAACCCCGGACAGGGCUGGAUAUCCGGGAGUAAAUAAGACAAUGGCGAUGAAAGUUGAUUCCCAGCGUGGCUGAGUAGGACCGGGUAUGUGAGUAUGAAAAGCAAGCAAUGGCGCAGUGCUGCCACGGGUCGAUGCUUUUUCCCAUUCAUAGUGGUGGCACCGUUGGCUCUAUCAUUUAACGUUGUCUCUGCAAUCUCGAGUCUCAAUUUUGAGAAAUGAAAUAUGAUCACGUACCUAACUCUGGGCUGUCAUGCGCCCCUCUCCUUUCUGAAUUCUUUCGACUAAAUGCAUGUAUUAGUCUUAUUGUAGCGUGAAGUCCCACACAGAGUUGUCUCUCGUCGGCUUAGAAUUCCCCCAAGUAAUAUGUAGGCCACUGUGAUAUUCGCUGCAAAACUUGAUCAUGCACAAAUUGAAACCCUGACCCCUGCUCGAACCCGUUUAUCUCCUAUGUACAAGGCCGUCGUGUGUCACCCUGACCCCAAAACUUCCCCGAAUAAUACAAAGUUGUCAUGUCAUCUCAAGUCGCGAAUUUUAAUGAAUAAAAUGCCAAGCUAGAGAUCCCUGCGAAGUUCCAGCACAUUGCUGUAAAUCCCAUUACGUUGAGAAGUCCAGCACAGGGAUGGAAACUCCGG